AUGGCAAAAGGAUGGGAUUCGUUAGCUCGCUAUUUAGUACGAAUUUGUGAAAUGAGGGAAUCCAUCAAAAUAAUUCAACAAUCUGUAGAAACUUUCCUGGAGGACCUUAUGAGAAUUUAUAAGUCCAACGCUUCAAGAAAGAAAAUAAUUCUGAAUGGAAUGAUUUUGAGUAUAAAUUUCUUGGUAAAAAACCUUCGGCCAAUUUUGAAUUGUCAAGACAAGAGCUUUAUGUAA
This 234-nucleotide ribosomal RNA is filed under the name Triticum aestivum (bread wheat). RNAcentral's name for it is "partial small subunit ribosomal RNA". The record is from RNAcentral. Lineage: Eukaryota; Viridiplantae; Streptophyta; Magnoliopsida; Poales; Poaceae.